AUCGCUUCUCGGCCUUUUGGCUAAGAUCAAGUGUAGUAUCUGUUAUCAGUUUAAAGGUUUUAUUUAUUUAUUUGAGUGAGAGGGCACGGGCAUGCGCACAAGGAGGGGGAGGGGCAGAGGAAGAGGGAGAAGCAGGGAUUCCCCCACCACCG
Molecule: small nuclear RNA, 152 nt
Filed under: Zalophus californianus (California sea lion)
Lineage: Eukaryota; Metazoa; Chordata; Mammalia; Carnivora; Otariidae
Also listed under: 1 other name
Description: U2 spliceosomal RNA (ENSZCAG00015013633.1)
Rfam family: U2 spliceosomal RNA
About the family: U2 is a small nuclear RNA (snRNA) component of the spliceosome (involved in pre-mRNA splicing). Complementary binding between U2 snRNA (in an area lying towards the 5' end but 3' to hairpin I) and the branchpoint sequence (BPS) of the intron results the bulging out of an unpaired adenosine, on the BPS, which initiates a nucleophilic attack at the intronic 5' splice site, thus starting the first of two transesterification reactions that mediate splicing.
Source: RNAcentral